Molecule: ribosomal RNA, 247 nt
Filed under: Musca domestica (house fly)
Lineage: Eukaryota; Metazoa; Arthropoda; Insecta; Diptera; Muscidae
Description: partial 16S ribosomal RNA
Source: RNAcentral
UCUGGUAUGAAAAGUUUGACGAGAUAUUAACUGUUUCAUAAAAAUUUAUAAUAGAAUUUUAUUUUUUAGUCAAAAAGCUAAAAUAAAUUUAAAAGACGAGAAGACCCUAUAAAUCUUUAUAUUUAGAUAAUUAUAAUUUUGUGGAUUUUUUUUGUUGUGAUUGUUGAUAAUAUUUUAUUGGGGUGAUAUUAAAAUUUAAAAAACUUUUAAUUAAUUAAAUCAUUAAUUUAUGAAUAAUGAUCCGUAU